RNAcentral lists this ribosomal RNA (467 nucleotides) under uncultured bacterium. RNAcentral describes it as "partial 16S ribosomal RNA". It matches the Rfam family "Bacterial small subunit ribosomal RNA", at positions 28 to 507 of the family's 1533-position model. The record is from RNAcentral.
GACGAACGCUGGCGGCGUGCUUAACACAUGCAAGUCGAACGGAAAGGCCUCUUUCGGGGGGUACUCGAGUGGCGAACGGGUGAGUAACACGUGAGUAACCUGCCCUUGACUUUGGGAUAACUUCAGGAAACUGGGGCUAAUACCGGAUAGGAGCUCCUGCUGCAUGGUGGGGGUUGGAGAGUUUCGGCGGUUGGGGGUGGACUCGCGGCUUAUCAGCUUGUUGGUGGGGUAGUGGCUUACCAAGGCUUUGACGGGUAGCCGGCCUGAGAGGGUGACCGGCCACAUUGGGACUGAGAUACGGCCCAGACUCCUACGGGAGGCAGCAGUGGGGAAUAUUGCACAAUGGGUGGAAGCCUGAUGCAGCAACGCCGUGUGCGGGAUGACGGCCUUCGGGUUGUAAACCGCUUUCGCUCAUGACGAAGCUUUGUGUGACGGUAGUGGGUAAAGAAGCACCGGCUAACUACGUG